ACUAAGCGUACACGGUGGAUGCCCUGGCAGUCAGAGGCGAUGAAGGACGUGCUAAUCUGCGAUAAGCGUCGGUAAGGUGAUAUGAACCGUUAUAACCGGCGAUUUCCGAAUGGGGAAACCCAGUGUGUUUCGACACACUAUCAUUAACUGAAUCCAUAGGUUAAUGAGGCGAACCGGGGGAACUGAAACAUCUAAGUACCCCGAGGAAAAGAAAUCAACCGAGAUUCCCCCAGUAGCGGCGAGCGAACGGGGAGCAGCCCAGAGCCUGAAUCAGUGUGUGUGUUAGUGGAAGCGUCUGGAAAGGCGCGCGAUACAGGGUGACAGCCCCGUACACAAAAAUGCACAUGCUGUGAGCUCGAUGAGUAGGGCGGGACACGUGGUAUCCUGUCUGAAUAUGGGGGGACCAUCCUCCAAGGCUAAAUACUCCUGACUGACCGAUAGUGAACCAGUACCGUGAGGGAAAGGCGAAAAGAACCCCGGCGAGGGGAGUGAAAAAGAACCUGAAACCGUGUACGUACAAGCAGUGGGAGCACGCUUAGGCGUGUGACUGCGUACCUUUUGUAUAAUGGGUCAGCGACUUAUAUUCUGUAGCAAGGUUAACCGAAUAGGGGAGCCGAAGGGAAACCGAGUCUUAACUGGGCGUUAAGUUGCAGGGUAUAGACCCGAAACCCGGUGAUCUAGCCAUGGGCAGGUUGAAGGUUGGGUAACACUAACUGGAGGACCGAACCGACUAAUGUUGAAAAAUUAGCGGAUGACUUGUGGCUGGGGGUGAAAGGCCAAUCAAACCGGGAGAUAGCUGGUUCUCCCCGAAAGCUAUUUAGGUAGCGCCUCGUGAAUUCAUCUCCGGGGGUAGAGCACUGUUUCGGCAAGGGGGUCAUCCCGACUUACCAACCCGAUGCAAACUGCGAAUACCGGAGAAUGUUAUCACGGGAGACACACGGCGGGUGCUAACGUCCGUCGUGAAGAGGGAAACAACCCAGACCGCCAGCUAAGGUCCCAAAGUCAUGGUUAAGUGGGAAACGAUGUGGGAAGGCCCAGACAGCCAGGAUGUUGGCUUAGAAGCAGCCAUCAUUUAAAGAAAGCGUAAUAGCUCACUGGUCGAGUCGGCCUGCGCGGAAGAUGUAACGGGGCUAAACCAUGCACCGAAGCUGCGGCAGCGACACUAUGUGUUGUUGGGUAGGGGAGCGUUCUGUAAGCCUGUGAAGGUGUGCUGUGAGGCAUGCUGGAGGUAUCAGAAGUGCGAAUGCUGACAUAAGUAACGAUAAAGCGGGUGAAAAGCCCGCUCGCCGGAAGACCAAGGGUUCCUGUCCAACGUUAAUCGGGGCAGGGUGAGUCGACCCCUAAGGCGAGGCCGAAAGGCGUAGUCGAUGGGAAACAGGUUAAUAUUCCUGUACUUGGUGUUACUGCGAAGGGGGGACGGAGAAGGCUAUGUUGGCCGGGCGACGGUUGUCCCGGUUUAAGCGUGUAGGCUGGUUUUCCAGGCAAAUCCGGAAAAUCAAGGCUGAGGCGUGAUGACGAGGCACUACGGUGCUGAAGCAACAAAUGCCCUGCUUCCAGGAAAAGCCUCUAAGCAUCAGGUAACAUCAAAUCGUACCCCAAACCGACACAGGUGGUCAGGUAGAGAAUACCAAGGCGCUUGAGAGAACUCGGGUGAAGGAACUAGGCAAAAUGGUGCCGUAACUUCGGGAGAAGGCACGCUGAUAUGUAGGUGAAGUCCCUUGCGGAUGGAGCUGAAAUCAGUCGAAGAUACCAGCUGGCUGCAACUGUUUAUUAAAAACACAGCACUGUGCAAACACGAAAGUGGACGUAUACGGUGUGACGCCUGCCCGGUGCCGGAAGGUUAAUUGAUGGGGUCAGCGCAAGCGAAGCUCUUGAUCGAAGCCCCGGUAAACGGCGGCCGUAACUAUAACGGUCCUAAGGUAGCGAAAUUCCUUGUCGGGUAAGUUCCGACCUGCACGAAUGGCGUAAUGAUGGCCAGGCUGUCUCCACCCGAGACUCAGUGAAAUUGAACUCGCUGUGAAGAUGCAGUGUACCCGCGGCAAGACGGAAAGACCCCGUGAACCUUUACUAUAGCUUGACACUGAACAUUGAGCCUUGAUGUGUAGGAUAGGUGGGAGGCUUUGAAGUGUGGACGCCAGUCUGCAUGGAGCCGACCUUGAAAUACCACCCUUUAAUGUUUGAUGUUCUAACGUGGACCCGUGAUCCGGGUUGCGGACAGUGUCUGGUGGGUAGUUUGACUGGGGCGGUCUCCUCCUAAAGAGUAACGGAGGAGCACGAAGGUUGGCUAAUCCUGGUCGGACAUCAGGAGGUUAGUGCAAUGGCAUAAGCCAGCUUGACUGCGAGCGUGACGGCGCGAGCAGGUGCGAAAGCAGGUCAUAGUGAUCCGGUGGUUCUGAAUGGAAGGGCCAUCGCUCAACGGAUAAAAGGUACUCCGGGGAUAACAGGCUGAUACCGCCCAAGAGUUCAUAUCGACGGCGGUGUUUGGCACCUCGAUGUCGGCUCAUCACAUCCUGGGGCUGAAGUAGGUCCCAAGGGUAUGGCUGUUCGCCAUUUAAAGUGGUACGCGAGCUGGGUUUAGAACGUCGUGAGACAGUUCGGUCCCUAUCUGCCGUGGGCGCUGGAGAACUGAGGGGGGCUGCUCCUAGUACGAGAGGACCGGAGUGGACGCAUCACUGGUGUUCGGGUUGUCAUGCCAAUGGCACUGCCCGGUAGCUAAAUGCGGAAGAGAUAAGUGCUGAAAGCAUCUAAGCACGAAACUUGCCCCGAGAUGAGUUCUCCCUGACCCUUUAAGGGUCCUGAAGGAACGUUGAAGACGACGACGUUGAUAGGCCGGGUGUGUAAGCGCAGCGAUGCGUUGAGCUAACCGGUACUAAUGAACCGUGAGGCUUAACC
Molecule: ribosomal RNA, 2892 nt
Filed under: human gut metagenome
Description: bacterial LSU rRNA
Rfam family: Bacterial large subunit ribosomal RNA
Source: RNAcentral